UGGGGGAUAUUGCACAAUGGGCGAAAGCCUGAUGCAGCGACGCCGCGUGGGGGAUGAAGGCUUUCGGGUUGUAAACCUCUUUCGCUAUCGAACAAGGCCCGCUUAGGGUGGGUUGAGGGUAGGUGGAGAAGAAGCGCCGGCUAACUACGUGCCAGCAGCCGCGGUAAUACGUAGGGCGCGAGCGUUGUCCGGAAUUAUUGGGCGUAAAGGGCUUGUAGGCGGCUUGUUGCGCCUGCUGUGAAAACGCGGGGCUUAACUUCGCGCGUGCAGUGGGUACGGGCAGGCUUGAGUGUGGUAGGGGUGACUGGAAUUCCAGGUGUAGCGGUGGAAUGCGCAGAUAUCUGGAGGAACACCGAUGGCGAAGGCAGGUCACUGGGCCAUUACUGACGCUGAGGAGCGAAAGCAUGGGUAGCGAACAGG
This 420-nucleotide ribosomal RNA is filed under the name bacterium. RNAcentral describes it as "partial 16S ribosomal RNA". It matches the Rfam family "Bacterial small subunit ribosomal RNA", at positions 355 to 776 of the family's 1533-position model. RNAcentral also lists the same sequence under 2 other names. The record is from RNAcentral.